AUUGAACGCUGGCGGCAUGCCUUACACAUGCAAGUCGAACGGAUUCAAGGGGCUUGCUCCUUGAGUUAGUGGCGAACGGGUGAGUAAUGCAUCGGAACGUGCCCAGUCGUGGGGGAUAACGUAGCGAAAGUUACGCUAAUACCGCAUACGUCCUGAGGGAGAAAGCGGGGGACCGAAAGGCCUCGCGCGAUUGGAGCGGCCGAUGUCAGAUUAGCUAGUUGGUGAGGUAAAAGCUCACCAAGGCGACGAUCUGUAGCUGGUCUGAGAGGAUGAUCAGCCACACUGGGACUGAGACACGGCCCAGACUCCUACGGGAGGCAGCAGUGGGGAAUUUUGGACAAUGGGGGCAACCCUGAUCCAGCCAUGCCGCGUGAGUGAAGAAGGC
Molecule: ribosomal RNA, 385 nt
Filed under: uncultured bacterium
Lineage: Bacteria
Description: bacterial SSU rRNA
Rfam family: Bacterial small subunit ribosomal RNA
Source: RNAcentral